RNAcentral lists this ribosomal RNA (968 nucleotides) under uncultured bacterium. Its description in RNAcentral is "bacterial SSU rRNA". It matches the Rfam family "Bacterial small subunit ribosomal RNA", at positions 533 to 1502 of the family's 1533-position model. The record is from RNAcentral.
GGGGAGGGUUGUUCGGGAUUUACUGGGCGUAAGGGUGCGUAGGUGGAUAUUUAAGUCAGAUGUGAAAUCCCUGAGCUAACUCAGGGCCUGCAUUUGAAACUGGAUGUCUGGAGUGCGGGAGAGGUAAGUGGAAUUCCUAGUGUAGCGGUGAAAUGCGUAGAGAUUAGGAAGAACACCAGUGGCGAAGGCGACUUACUGGACCGUAACUGACACUGAGGCACGAAAGCGUGGGUAGCAAACAGGAUUAGAUACCCUGGUAGUCCACGCCGUAAACGAUGAGUACUAGGUGUAGGGGGUAUCGACUCCCCCUGUGCCGCAGUUAACACAAUAAGUACUCCGCCUGGGAAGUACGAUCGCAAGAUUAAAACUCAAAGGAAUUGACGGGGGCCCGCACAAGCAGCGGAGCAUGUGGUUUAAUUCGAAGCAACGCGAAGAACCUUACCUAGACUUGACAUACCCUGAAUUACUCGUAACUGAGGAAGCUUUUCGGAGCAGGGAUACAGGUGGUGCAUGGUUGUCGUCAGCUCGUGUCGUGAGAUGUUAGGUUAAGUCCUGCAACGAGCGCAACCCUUAUCAUUAGUUGCUACCAUUCAGUUGAGCACUCUAGUGAGACUGCCCGGGUUAACCGGGAGGAAGGUGGGGAUGACGUCAAAUCAUCAUGCCCCUUAUGUCUAGGGCUACACACGUGCUACAAUGGUGAGUACAAAGAGAUGCAAUCCCGCGAGGGGGAGCCAAACUUAUAAAACUCAUCUCAGUUCGGAUUGUAGGCUGAAACUCGCCUACAUGAAGCUGGAGUUGCUAGUAAUCGCGAAUCAGCAUGUCGCGGUGAAUACGUUCCCGGGCCUUGUACACACCGCCCGUCACACCAUGAGAGUUGGCAAUACCCGAAGUCCGUGAGCUAACCUGUAAAGGGGGCAGCGGCCGAAAGUAGGGUCAGCGAUUGGGGUGAAGUCGUAACAAGGUAACCC